CUCAGGAUGAUGUAACUACUGAAACUAUGACUCUAUAAUAAACUGAGUGUGAAUAUAAAUGAACAGUAAGAAAAGUGUCUGUAUCAACACAAUCAAUCUCCAAUCAGACUCAAUCCCUUGUUUUCCCUUUGCCUCGUGGUCUUAAAUUAAAUGAUCUGGUCUCGAGACAUAUUCUUCACUGUGGAUAGAUUUAUGCAGAACUUUGUGCCGACUCAGCAGUAACAGAUUAAGUGUCAGUGUGAAUGUAACAGGAAAGGAAUGCUCAUCGCUCAUCAACGAUAUCUGCUCAGACUCAAAGGUUCAUGUGCUGCUCAGUCUCCUUGAUUCUAAUGAUCAACAUGAUGAAAGGCAGAGUGCUGCACGUGUCCGUGGUCCCUCGGCCAAGUGGACACGUCCACAUCGAGGACACAGUUCAACUGUGGCUCAGUGUUUCACAGUCACAGCAGAGGUCGGACAUGUUUUCAGGACCAGUACUGCAACUUAAAAAAUACAAAAAAAACAGGGUGAACAGGGUGAAGUAAUGAGGAGGGAAUGUAGUCUGGUGGAAAGAUUUCCUCAGAACACAGAAUGCUCAACAGAGAACUGAUCAUCCUUUAAGGAUGAGAUACGUGAAUCGUGAAAUCAUGAUCUUGUGGAAACAUUGCAACUGAAUGCAAAAAGUUGAAAAAGGAAAUUUCAGAUUAGAAGCUGCAUCAAAUAAAGGAUUAUAUUAUUGAUGGUUAUUCCAGACAGUGAAGCUGCAGUAACACAGACUCUUUUACAACUGAGAUGUUCAACACUGGACAGCUGAAGAACGGAAAAACCUCUGGUCUGGUGAAUCAGGAGGAAUUGGCAGGAUUCAGUGUAAACAACAAUUGGUUGUUGUGUUUCCUUGACUCACUUUGGGCACGUCCACCACGAUAAUGCACCUCAGUGAACUUCACUGGCUUUCCCAGUCACCAAAUCCUGAUUUAAAGUCUUUGGGGUGUAGUAGAACAGCAUCAUUCUAACCUGGAGACAAACCUGGAUCAUAUUGACACACAGUUGUGUUAUUGUUGGAAAAAGGGGUGACACAGCAGCAACAGUGCACUAACCACACCAUGGCAACGAUUCCUGGAAAUGAGAACAAAUCAUCACCGGACGCCACGGCGGUUAGGAUUCCUGGUUUUCACCCAGGCGGCCCGGGUUCGACUCCCGGUAUGGGAACUACCCUAGGGGGAGAGGCGGUGGACCAGUGGCACAAACUUGGACUAUGGGCUGAAAAGGUCUCUGGUUCGACUCCACGAAGAAAAACAACAAAAAGAUGAACCUGGAUUGAUCUGUCCAAAAAUCCAAGAGGAUUCUCCCUGACUUGUCUAGUGCCCCUGAGCAAGGCACCUUACU
Molecule: long non-coding RNA, 1362 nt
Organism: Pleuronectes platessa (European plaice)
Lineage: Eukaryota; Metazoa; Chordata; Actinopteri; Pleuronectiformes; Pleuronectidae
Exons: 3
Source: RefSeq, a predicted model, not a curated record